This 565-nucleotide ribosomal RNA is filed under the name Curvularia sp. F18. RNAcentral describes it as "eukaryotic LSU rRNA". The stretch from base 195 to 348 matches the Rfam family "5.8S ribosomal RNA". The record is from RNAcentral. Lineage: Eukaryota; Fungi; Ascomycota; Dothideomycetes; Pleosporales; Pleosporaceae.
UGCGGAGGGAUCAUUACACAAUAAACAUAUGAAGGCUGCACCGCCAACAGGCGGCAAGGCUGGAGUAUUUUAUUACCCUUGUCUUUUGCGCACUUGUUGUUUCCUGGGCGGGUUCGCCCGCCUCCAGGACCACAUGAUAAACCUUUUUUAUGCAGUUGCAAUCAGCGUCAGUACAACAAAUGUAAAUCAUUUACAACUUUCAACAACGGAUCUCUUGGUUCUGGCAUCGAUGAAGAACGCAGCGAAAUGCGAUACGUAGUGUGAAUUGCAGAAUUCAGUGAAUCAUCGAAUCUUUGAACGCACAUUGCGCCCUUUGGUAUUCCAAAGGGCAUGCCUGUUCGAGCGUCAUUUGUACCCUCAAGCUUUGCUUGGUGUUGGGCGUUUUUUGUCUUUGGUUUUGUCCAAAGACUCGCCUUAAAACGAUUGGCAGCCGGCCUACUGGUUUCGCAGCGCAGCACAUUUUUGCGCUUGCAAUCAGCAAAAGAGGACGGCACUCCAUCAAGACUCUAUAUCACUUUUGACCUCGGAUCAGGUAGGGAUACCCGCUGAACUUAAGCAUAUCAAU